CAAAGAAGCAACUGUAGAUCUAGAAUAAGACCAAGCUACGAGGAGAAAGAAGAGAGGAGGCACGGAGAAGUAGAAUAGCAGAAAAAAGGAACAAUAAUUUUCAGAGAUGCAGGGGUGAGAACUACAGUUCCCACCCUUAGCGGGUUAUCCACCUAACCCGCUAAGGGUAGGAACUAUAGCGGGACAUGUUUGUUUCACUGAAACUAGAGUUUGGGUUGAAGUGGACUUUGGGUUGAAGUGAAGUUCAGUGAAAACUACUUCUUCUUCGCUGUUUGUUUCGUAGUAAUGAAAGUGAAGUUCCAUUAGUUCUGCUGUUUGUUUGGUAGGAAGUGUAUGAUGUAAAACUAUAAUUUAUAUAUAAAUAAUAAAUAUUUUAAUAAAUAAAAAUAAUAUAAUUAUAUUUUUGUAUAAUUAAAAUUUAAUUUAAAACAACUAAAUUAUUUUUGUAUACAUAAAUUAUAGUAAUACAACAAUAAAAUUAUAAAGUAAAAAAAUAUUAAUACUUAAUUAAUCAAUUUUUAUCAUAUUUUAAAUGUACAAACUAAAUAAAAGAGAUAUUAAAGCUUAACUAAUCAAUUUUUAUCAUAUUUUAAAUAUUUUAACUAAAUAAAAAAAUAAUUAAUAACAUAAUUAAAUAUAUUUAAAUAAAACUAUCUUUAUCUAUAAUAUUAUUUUAUUAUUUUUUUUUCACUUCUUUUCACCGUAAUUGACUUCAGCCCAUGAUGGGGCGAAGUAAAUUACGCCGUUCGAGGUUAACUUGAGUUUCAACCAUAACUUUUUUACGGCGAACCAAACAACGAAAGUGAUCGUUUAGAGCGAAAAUGUCUUCCCUUCUCUCCACUUCCACCCCAUUUCCACCCAAACAAACAUGGUUA
Molecule: long non-coding RNA, 875 nt
Filed under: Ananas comosus (pineapple)
Lineage: Eukaryota; Viridiplantae; Streptophyta; Magnoliopsida; Poales; Bromeliaceae
Description: long non-coding RNA (ACOM_LNC014912)
Source: RNAcentral